This 497-nucleotide ribosomal RNA is filed under the name uncultured bacterium. RNAcentral's name for it is "partial 16S ribosomal RNA". It matches the Rfam family "Bacterial small subunit ribosomal RNA", at positions 28 to 507 of the family's 1533-position model. The record is from RNAcentral.
GAUGAACGCUGGCGGCGUGCCUAAUACAUGCAAGUCGAGCGAACAGCUGAGGAGCUUUCUCUUCUUCCGUUAUCGUCGCACAGGUGAGUAUCACGUGGAUAACCUCCCUAUAUGACUGGGGUACCUUCGGUAAACAGGAGCUCUUACCGCGUAAUCUAUCUAACCGCAUGGUUCAGUAUUGAAAGACGGUUUUGCUUUCAUUUAUACAUUGAUCCGCGCCGCAUUAGCUAUUUGGUAAGGUAACGGCUUACCAAGGCAACGAUGCGUAGCAGACCUGAGAGAGUGAUCGGCAAAACGGGAACUGAGAAACGGUCCAGACUCCUAGGGGAGGCAGCAGUAGGGAAUCUUCGGAAAUGAGCGAAAGCUGGAGGGGGAAACGCCGCGGGAGUGAGGAAGGUCUUCGGAUCGUAAGACUCUUUUAUUAGGGAAGAAGAAAUGUGUAAGUAAAGAGGGAAGGAUUGACGGUACCGAAACAGAAAGCCACGGCUAACUACGUG